GGAGGGCUGGCAGAGCGGUUGAAUGCACCAGUCUUGAAAACUGGCAAGGGCUUAUACCCUUCGUGAGUUCGAAUCUCACGCCCUCCGCCA
Molecule: transfer RNA, 90 nt
Filed under: Gallionella sp.
Lineage: Bacteria; Pseudomonadati; Pseudomonadota; Betaproteobacteria; Nitrosomonadales; Gallionellaceae
Description: tRNA-Ser
Rfam family: tRNA
About the family: Transfer RNA (tRNA) molecules are approximately 80 nucleotides in length.
Source: RNAcentral